ACCCAAGUGGAAAAAUCCCAUCGGGUGACGCUCAAUUUAAACAUGAAACAUUUUUGUGGCAAUGAAACUAACAAUAACAUGAAGUAAGAGAGAGUCUUGUCGUAACUCUAUUUUCAUUGUUUGUUGUGAGUAGUGACGCAUCAAACCGCCACCUCAUCCGUCUGCGGUCGGGAGUACGCUUCCGCUGAAGCAAGCAAUCCGCGCAUCCGGCUAAGACAAUAUAGGCCGAUCUUCCGAUCAAUCCAACUGAGACCUAUAUGUAUGUGAUACGCCAAGUGCGCCUCCUUUUUUAGUCCCCUCAAUCACCGAAAAUAUUUUCAGCGCCAUUAUAAUCUUCUCUUUAUUAUACCCAAAUUUACCUUACAGUGUGUGAUGGCCAACGGAAUAAUAAUUUGUCUUCUUGGCUUUUCCGUACUGAAAUGACGUUGCAACUUGCAAGUCAAAGAUGAGGUAAGAAACGGUAAAGUUUUGAGCACGCCCUUGUGGAUAUCAACCAGCAAAGGAGUUUUGCCGUGGUGUUAUGGACCGACUCGUCAAAGACAUUGCCACCCCUAGUACCGCUAAAGUUUUCGGGGAAUAUCGAUCUAAUAGUACGACGGUGAGCAAUCCUUGCCUCAACAGCCCAUGCACUCCCUUGUGUGUCCUUAUUCCGGGCGGAUAUCCUUUCACCUGCCCCGACAGCACGAUCCUGAUUCAAUCUGGUGAAGAACUGUCGUGGAACGUGACUGAGGAACGACCUCAACCGUCUCCUUUUGCGCUGCCCUUGCCAGAAUCUUGGGGUCUGCACCGGCGACGGCCAAGUCCAUUGCCAGUGCCCCAACGAUUAUUACGAAGGCGCCCAUUGCGAGACCCACUUGUUGCGCCGUAGUUAACAACAAUCACGAGUUGUACCAGUCGAUUAUGAAAUCGCUUGGUACAACAGCAAACUAUUGAGGGUUUAACUUUGGUCGUUUUCAUCAAAUGUUUUGCAACUGAUUUAUUUUCUUACGUGUUUUUAAAUUUUGUUUUUCUAAAUAAACGAGUAUAAUCCUUUUCUAUGUUUUAUUUGAUUUGAUUUUUUUAUUUUCGAUUUUUUUAAAUUGUUUCAACUAUAUCGAUAUCUUACCCAUAGCUGAUUGCAAAAUGGCGUCGUCUGCUCAGUUUUGAAACGUGGCUGGCGAUAGCUGCACGAAAAAUGUGUCUCAUUAUAGAUUCUCUUAAAAUAGUUAUUAUUUGAUACGUGCUCCAUGUUGUUUAUAGCAGGCAAAUAAAAUCAAGGAUGCAUAUAGAAUGAUUGUGGAAUCUUUGUGGAAACCCUUUUCUAAAUUCUGAGAAAUGCUAGUUCCCGACUAAAAUAGGCCUAGCAUUAAUCACGCCAGAGCCAGCCAUCACAACAAUGAGAUGCAAGAAUUUAAUGUGCUGGUGUUAACCUGGCGGCAGGAAUCUCAUUGUUCGGUGAAUAUAACAUGGAAAUAUUCAAGCUUCAAUUCACCUUUUGUUUACCAGUUACCACUGUACCACUCUCGUUAACAGCAUCCUCUUGUAUUGGAGAAACUACCAAUGUUGCUUGAGUUGCUGAUAUCUUCUCCCAUUUUCAUAAAAUGUUCUCGUGUGCCCCUGUAGUGGGUGUACACAACACAUGAGGACCCCCUUUUUCCUCUAUCCCGCCUGGUGUCUGGUCAAUUUUUCAGCAGAUGGAUGCCUGGCUGUAUAUCCCAAGUCUAAAGGGAGCAACGACAUUUUUGGUGACUGCCAGUCUGCCGAAAAUCGUCAAUCUGAUGCCAUUGCGGGUGAAGAUGAAGAAGGCGCAACAGCCGAAAAUUUGCCCGAUCCUGUUAUGUAAACGCCAGUUCAAAAGCUGCGACUGAAAUCUCGCGUGACCAACAGUUUUUACCCGUCGAGCCACCUAUCCGUCAAUUAUUUGAUUGACCGCCCAACAUCCACUGCCCAUCCACAUCACCUCACCACUUCCGCCACUGGACGCCAAGCGGGAAAAGGAAUUUAAACUAUAAGCUGAUGACAUUCAUAUCAUGGAUUUUUCGCGAGUGACAGCUGGGAGUGAGCCAGCAAGAUUUUUGGCAUAACUCGACCGAAUGAUCAGAAUUGGCAAAGAAACUGGCCUUCUUUCCCUUUUCGUUGGAACGAUUGACGAAGCUGAAGGAUCUAUCACUAGGUGGCUAAAAAGAUGUAAGUGUUUUCUUUUUAGAUUUCGCCAUAUUUUUGAGGCUUGAGUGGGCUUGUGAGACAGAGUGGAAAAGUUAUUAGCCUAUAAUGUCUACGUGGCAAUUCCAUCUGAUCAUGUGGCCUGAAACUGCUGUUCACUUUCCAAAAAUUGUCUUCUCUUGCUGCAUGUACCGGCUGUACGUUUCGUCACGUGCAGGAAUACUUAAAAACUUAAAAUAGGACCAACAGCCUGGUGAAGUCUGAGCUUCAUUGUUGCAGUCUGAUGUGCACAUUGAUUUGUUGCUGCCAGCUGUUGAUUGGUGUGGCGAGCCGUUGCAUGCAGACCGCUGGUGUGUUGAGCUGCUGCAAAUCAUGUAAGAAUGUCAAUGUUGAAUAUAUCCAACGUCAACUCGGCUACUUAUCUCCCUAUCUAUCUUGGGCUUAGAGACUAACCGAGAUGAUUUGCUGCGAUUGAAAAAAGUAUGAUGUAAAUGUAGGCAAGUACAUAAUCUGGGCCUCCUUCCCUUAACUAACCAACAUCCGUCGGAGAAUUGAACCUUGGUCAAAUGAAGAAAGGGAAAUAGAAAUAUGAAAAUAAUGAUAGAAAAAAAUGAUUUGAGUGUAGAAAACAUAAUUAAGUUGCAUUUAUAUUAUAUUAUUACCAAAUAUGUAAAUGCAAUAACUCCAGAAUAUCUAACUAAUUGUUCAAACAAUGUAACCAACAUCUUUAUGAUUGUUGUUUGUUACCAUAAAUUUAAGUCUAUAACAUACAUAAAAAAUCAAAUAUACAGAACGAACACAA
Daphnia pulex (common water flea) is the source of this 2944-nucleotide long non-coding RNA. RefSeq lists it as uncharacterized. The record is from RefSeq and is a predicted model, not a curated record. The transcript is spliced from 11 exons. NCBI's taxonomy places the organism in Eukaryota, Metazoa, Arthropoda, Branchiopoda, Diplostraca, Daphniidae.